RNAcentral lists this ribosomal RNA (440 nucleotides) under uncultured bacterium. RNAcentral's name for it is "partial 16S ribosomal RNA". It matches the Rfam family "Bacterial small subunit ribosomal RNA", at positions 338 to 795 of the family's 1533-position model. The record is from RNAcentral.
CCUACGGGGAGCAGCAGUAGGGAAUAUUGCUCAAUGGGGGAAACCCUGAAGCAGCAACGCCGCGUGGAGGAUGAAGGUUUUCGGAUUGUAAACUCCUUUUGUAAGAGAAGAUUAUGACUGUAUCUAACGAAUAAGCACUGGCGAACUCCGUGCCAGCAGCCGCGGUAAUACGUAGGUUGCAAGAGUUACGCGGAUUCACUGGUCGUAAAGAGUGCGUAGGCGGGGUAAUAAGUGAGAUGUGAAAUCCUGUAGCUUAACUACAGAACUUCAUGUGGAACUGUUACUGUGGAGUGUGAGAGAGGGAGGUGGGAUUCUUGGUGUAGGUGUAAAAUCCGUAGAGAUCAAGAGGAAUACGCAUUGCGAAGGCGACCUGCUGGAACAUUACUGACGCUGAUGCACGAAAGCGUGGGGAGCAAACAGGAUUAGAUACCCCUGUAGUC